Molecule: long non-coding RNA, 886 nt
Organism: Triticum aestivum (bread wheat)
Lineage: Eukaryota; Viridiplantae; Streptophyta; Magnoliopsida; Poales; Poaceae
Exons: 2
Source: RefSeq, a predicted model, not a curated record
UCCUCCCGUAUCCAACGGCAACGAAACCUCUCCCUCUUUCUUGUGUUUCCUUCAAUCCACCCACGAGACGCCCACUUCUCUUCCACCGGGGGCGAAGUGGAUCUGAGUCGGCCUCUUCCAGAUCCUCCAUCCUCCGCCCUCCCCAUCCAUGGCCGCUGCCACUUCACCAAGAAAAAGUCCGUGUUAGCUGCCGCUGCCACUUCACCAAGAAAAGGUCCGCGUUAGCUACCGCUGCAUCCUCUUUAUCCAUGACCAUCUUCCCCUCUGCAUCCCGCAACGGCCAUAUGCCUCCGCGAUGUUAGCCUCGUCUCUCAGGCGAGAGCGCCCCUGAAGGCGGACCCAGUGCUCGUGGCGCCGGUUCCAUUCCUACGGAUGGUGCCCACCUUGCUGCACGGAGCGACAAGGUCCCUCGUGGGCGUGCACAAGCUGGAUGGGCUGGGCGCGAUGACUACGGGCGUGCUCAAGGUCCCGCUUCAGCCUCACCUGACGACGCGCCUGGUGGAGUUCCGCCGCAUCGGACCGGCGGGAUCCUUGGCAGGCUGUGAGCCGCAGUCCACCAGGUAAUACAAGCUCUAUGGAGUCUUCACCGGUGGAGACAGAGUGCCUUCCAGAAGCAUGGUUAUGUUGCAAAAAUGGGACCUCUCUCCGAUGACUUUGGCGAGUACGGCCGAAUCGGUGGCCACAAAGACACUGGAAUUAACCAAAGUUAACAUAUGGCGAGCGCCCCGGCGCCUGAGGAGCUGUAGAGUAGCUUAGUGUUCUCCAUGAGAUGUUUGUAAUUUUAAGUUUUUAGGAAUUUUUUGCUCCUGUAGAUGUGUAUUUUCCGGUUUGUUUAUGUAACCUUUAUUUAAUUUAUUAAUGAAAUGAGCAUAUAUUUUUCUGACCA